Molecule: ribosomal RNA, 115 nt
Filed under: uncultured bacterium
Lineage: Bacteria
Description: partial 16S ribosomal RNA
Rfam family: Bacterial small subunit ribosomal RNA
Source: RNAcentral
CCUUGUACACACCGCCCGUCAAGCCAUGGAAGCUGGGGGUACCCGAAACCGGGUGUGCUAACCCCGACGCAAGUCGGGGAGGCAGCCGACUAAGGUAAAACCAGUGACUGGGGCU